This 257-nucleotide ribosomal RNA is filed under the name uncultured bacterium. Its description in RNAcentral is "partial 16S ribosomal RNA". It matches the Rfam family "Bacterial small subunit ribosomal RNA", at positions 524 to 776 of the family's 1533-position model. The record is from RNAcentral.
UACGGAGGGAGCUAGCGUUGUUCGGAAUUACUGGGCGUAAAGCGCACGUAGGCGGCUUUUGUAAGUUAGAGGUGAAAGCCCGGGGCUCAACUCCGGAAUUGCCUUUAAGACUGCAUCGCUCGAAUCCGGGAGAGGUGAGUGGAAUUCCGAGUGUAGAGGUGAAAUUCGUAGAUAUUCGGAAGAAACACCAGUGGCGAAGGACGGCUCACUGGAGCCGGUAUUGACGCUGAGGUGCGAAAGCGUGGGGAGCAAACAGG